CCUACGGGAGGCAGCAGUGGGGAAUAUUGGGCAAUGGAGGCAACUCUUACCCAGCAAUGCCGCGUGAAUGAAGAAGGUCUUCGGAUUGUAAAGUUCUUUAAUUGGGGACGAAAAAAAUGACGGUACCCAAGGAAUAACCCCCGGCUAACUACGUGCCAGCAGCCGCGGUAAUACGUAGGGGGCAAGCGUGGUUCGGAAUGGCUGGGCGUAAAGGGUGUGUAGGCGGUGUAGCAAGUUAGAAGUGAAAUACCUAGGGCUUAACUCAGGUGCUGCUUCUAAAACUGCUAUACUUGAGUGCAGUAGAGGAAAGUGGAAUUCCUAGUGUAGCGGUGGAAUGCGUAGAUAUUAGGAGGAACAUCAGUGGCGAAGGCAGCUUGCUAGGCCGGAUCUGACACUGAUGCACGAAAGCGUGGGGAUCGAACAGGAUUAGAUACCCUGGUAGUC
Molecule: ribosomal RNA, 444 nt
Filed under: uncultured bacterium
Lineage: Bacteria
Description: partial 16S ribosomal RNA
Rfam family: Bacterial small subunit ribosomal RNA
Source: RNAcentral